CAGUCGCCGCGGUAAUACAGAGGGUGCGAGCGUUAAUCGGAUUUACUGGGCGUAAAGCGUGCGUAGGCGGCUAAUUGAGUCGGAUGUGAAAUCCCCGAGCUUAACUUAGGAAUUGCAUUCGAUACUGGGAAGCUAGAGUAUGGGAGAGGAUGGUAGAAUUCCAGGUGUAGCGGUGAAAUGCGUAGAGAUCUGGAGGAAUACCGAUGGCGAAGGCAGCCAUCUGGCCUAAUACUGACGCUGAGGUACGAAAGCAUGGGGAGCAAACAGGAUUAGAUACCCGCGUAGUCCCUGUCUCUUAUAC
Molecule: ribosomal RNA, 301 nt
Filed under: uncultured bacterium
Lineage: Bacteria
Description: partial 16S ribosomal RNA
Rfam family: Bacterial small subunit ribosomal RNA
Source: RNAcentral